Molecule: non-coding RNA, 30 nt
Filed under: Rattus norvegicus (Norway rat)
Lineage: Eukaryota; Metazoa; Chordata; Mammalia; Rodentia; Muridae
Source: RNAcentral
GUCACACAUAGGUUCCAUUUCAUGGAAUAG